This 246-nucleotide ribosomal RNA is filed under the name uncultured bacterium. RNAcentral's name for it is "partial 16S ribosomal RNA". It matches the Rfam family "Bacterial small subunit ribosomal RNA", at positions 109 to 339 of the family's 1533-position model. The record is from RNAcentral.
CGUAACACGUGGGUAAUCUACCCCUGAAUUUGGGAUAACAUCGCGAAAGCGAUGCUAAUACCGGAUAACAUCAAUGAGACUUUGGUUUUAUUGAUCAAAGAUGGCCUCUAUUUAUAAGCUAUUGUUUAGGGAUGAGCCUGCGUACCAUUAGCUAGUUGGUGGGGUAAAGGCCUACCAAGGCUACGAUGGUUAGCUGGUCUGAGAGGAUGAUCAGCCACACUGGAACUGACACACGGUCCAGACUCC